RNAcentral lists this long non-coding RNA (1157 nucleotides) under Felis catus (domestic cat). RNAcentral's name for it is "lncRNA (ENSFCAG00000044330.2)". The record is from RNAcentral. Lineage: Eukaryota; Metazoa; Chordata; Mammalia; Carnivora; Felidae.
AUGUUGGGAGGGACCUAAGUAAGGCUCGAGGUUGUGAUUCACAGAGUGCACUCUGACAGGCCCUAGGGUGAGGCUUGGGUCUUCCAAGUCACUCCCAAGGAAUUUGUCACUGGGCGUGGGACCAGUGUGCAGAGCAGGCCAAGAUCAAGUUAAGUAAGAACUGAGAAAAGGACCCACUGGGCUGGCCAGUGGAUGGUGCUCUGCUCAGGGCUCCUUCAAUGUAAGUACUCCACCUCGAUGCUGCACCUUCCCCCGCCUGCCCUGCCAGCUUCCACAUCCAGCCCUGCCCACUCCUUUCCUUCCUGCCACACUGUUCUGGACACUUAUGUGCAGCAUCUACCAGCUUCUGGCUCAGGGGACUAUACCCCAACGUCCUAUGUCCCCUUUCUGAAACACCUGCUCCUUAGUAUGCAAUGCUGGGGCCAUGGACAGGGCCUUGGAUGGGGUCAAGUGGUUCCUCCUCUCCUGCCAGCAAUCUCAACUUCCCUGGUCUCAGAGGAUAGUUCCCUGGUCUGCUGGAAGGCUAAAUGGCAUCCCACCUCAGGCCUUUGCCCAUCCUCGUCUCGUGGAAGCUGGCUCCUCCUUGCUGCCAUCUCAGCCUGCUGGCCUUGCUGGAUGGACUGCUCGGCCUGGGCACCACGUGCAUCUCUCUCCAGCACAUGUGGUUCUUUAAUUUAUGUGUUAGCGUCCCUCUCACAUGAAUCAAACCCCUGAGAGCCGUCCCCUGGCCCGUCUUGUUCACAUGCUUCCCUGUGACAUGUAACAGGCACAGUGCACGGAACUGAUGGGAGAGGGAAGCGACCUGUCUCCUGCAGACCCCGGCCCAAGGGUGCCUUUUGAUUGUUGUUUUUGUUUGCUGCAGCAUAGGCAGGUGAGGAGAAGUCACUGAGGAGUGCUCCCCAUAGGAAAGGUGCCUGUGAAGGAGGCUGUGGACCCCAAGCUCGGGUGAGGGCUGGAACUCCUGGGCUCUUGUCCCAGAACCCCAGCCCCCUAGGCUGGCUGUCCCCCAUUCCAACAGCAGCAUGUGGAAGCCUCAUAGGUAUUGCACACUGGAUGGACCCUUGAGGUACCAUACCUGCUCCUGCCCUGGGCUUCCCAUAUGACCCGAGACAACACUGCCUACCAGUUGCUCAAAUAAAAAUCUCCAGAUCACAUCA